CCUACGGGUGGCAGCAGUGAGGAAUAUUGGUCAAUGGACGAGAGCCUGAACCAGCCAAGUCGCGUGAAGGAUGACUGCCCUAUGGGUUGUAAACUUCUUUUAUAUGGGAAUAAAAUGUUCCACGUGUGGGAUUUUGUAUGUACCCUAUGAAUAAGGAUCGGCUAACUCCGUGCCAGCAGCCGCGGUAAUACGGAGGAUCCGCGCGUUAUCCGGAUUUAUUGGGUUUAAAGGGAGCGUAGGUGGAUUGUUAAUGCAGUUGUGAAAGUGUUCGGCUCAACCGUAAAAUUGCAGUUGAAACUGGCAGUCUUGAGUACGGGAGAGGAGGGCGGAAUUCGUGGUGUAGCGGUGAAAUGCUUAGAUAUCACGAAGAACUCCGAUUGCGAAGGCAGCUCGCUGGACUGCAACUGACACUGAGGCUCGAAAGUGUGGGUAUCAAACAGGAUUAGAUACCCUUGUAGUC
RNAcentral lists this ribosomal RNA (460 nucleotides) under uncultured bacterium. RNAcentral describes it as "partial 16S ribosomal RNA". It matches the Rfam family "Bacterial small subunit ribosomal RNA", at positions 338 to 795 of the family's 1533-position model. The record is from RNAcentral.